Molecule: ribosomal RNA, 468 nt
Filed under: uncultured bacterium
Lineage: Bacteria
Description: partial 16S ribosomal RNA
Rfam family: Bacterial small subunit ribosomal RNA
Source: RNAcentral
GACGAACGCUGGCGGCGUGCUUAACACAUGCAAGUCGAACGGAAAGGCCCUGCUUUUGUGGGGUGCUCGAGUGGCGAACGGGUGAGUAACACGUGAGUAACCUGCCCUUGACUUUGGGAUAACUUCAGGAAACUGGGGCUCAUACCGGAUAGGAGCUCCUGCUGCAUGGUGGGGGUUGGAAAGUUUCGGCGGUUGGGGAUGGACUCGCGGCUUAUCAGCUUGUUGGUGGGGUAGUGGCUUACCAAGGGUUUGACGGGUAGCCGGCCUGAGAGGGUGACCGGCGACAUUGGGACUGAGAUACGGCCCAGACUCCUACGGGAGGCAGCAGGGGGGAAUAUUGCACAAUGGGCGGAAGCCUGAGGCAGCAACCCCGCGUGCGGGAUGACGGCUUUCGGGUGGUAAACCGCUUUCGCCUGUAACGAAGCGUGAGUGACGGUAAUGGGUAAAGAAGCACCGGCUAACUACGUG